CAAUUGAACAUAUGGACAACGAGGUAACAUUUUGUCAACGUAUUGAGGUUGCAGCAAAAUGCAUGUUUGUAGUUAAAAUGUGAUCUAAAAAUUAAUUUUUGUUUCAUUUGGAGCUAUAACCUCUAGGUUACGUCCAUCGUUAUGCACUAGACUUGUGGGUGUGUUGAGGAACGAGUGCGUCCCCUAUCGAGUCAGAACAAAGGCUUAACGCUACAUUUUUUUAGGGUAGCGAGUUAUUAUUUUCUCUAUGGGUUUAUUAAACAGUUGAAUUUACAAAAAGCUGAGUUUUCUUCCUUGUUAUUGUUGUCAUUCUUUUUUUGUUUUGUUUUAGUAUUAUUCCCAACAACUCAUUCAUUGCAAUUUCAUAGUUCAGCAGGAAUUUUCACCUAGCAAAAGUUGUGCUGAAACAAAAUUCCAACAAAAAAAUCAACCAACUGGUCGUUAUGACAUUUUUAUAAUGGAAAAAAAUAUGAGAAGCAAGACGAAACAUCUGCAAAUCUGCACAUGCUAAGUCAAAUACUUAAUCACUCACGCUACGAUUUCAACUUUACUGAUCCCAGCGGAUCAUCUCUAUCACAUGCAAACCUACUCAUGGCCAAGCUCACCAUAUCGAGUUCUCUGUAGCUUAGUGGCAGAGCAUCAGAGGGUGAACUGCAAUAGCCUAGGGUUUGACUCCUCUUGGGAGACUCAGUUUUUCUUCAUCUCAUAGUUUUGACCAUACAAAUAACAUAUUUCUUUAUUUAGUGACUAAGCUCAAAAUCUACCAUAUCUUCCUAUUUUCCUGGAAACAGGCAGGAUGCUUGGUUAUUUUGAACCCAGUAAAGGCCUAUUCAACUCUGUAGCUAUUUUAGUGGUAGUGUAUCAGAAUUUAACGUUAGAAGGUUUGGAGUUCGAUUAAUGGUGGCAACUCUUUCCUUACUGAUGUCUCAUGCUCAUGACAAAAUGAACAUCUUUCAUUAGUACCCAAAAAAUGUUUGGUCAGAAUGACAAUUUAGAUAGUUUCUUUGAACACGUGUUCCUUUAUUACUUAUACUUACUUCUUUCAAACAAAGAAAGUGGUUUUUUUUCAUUUUGCUAUUAAUUUUUAACAUUGUAAUUUGUUUUAUUACAUUGGAGACUUGCCAUUGUUUUCCUGCAGCAAGAACAUCAACAUGGUGAAAUUUUUGAUGAGCAGAUGCUCCUCAAUUUGGUGCUACUGUUAACGUACCUUUAUUAUUACAGCAAUGCUCUGUCUGAGAGUGACUAGACUCCAUAAAAUUUCAUCAGUGACAAAUCUAGGAUUAUAUCAGCAUUAUAUUAAUAGAAAGAAUUGCUGAAAAUAUAUUUUCUCUCUUAAUUAACUUUAUGAAUUGACUGUACUUAUGACCAUCUUUUGGAUGUGAUAUUUAUGUACUGUCUUUGAAAUAAACUGU
Molecule: non-coding RNA, 1412 nt
Organism: Pocillopora verrucosa
Lineage: Eukaryota; Metazoa; Cnidaria; Anthozoa; Scleractinia; Pocilloporidae
Source: RefSeq, a predicted model, not a curated record